AGCAGCAGCCAUAUCACCCUGCAACUCACAACUGGCAACCCACUGAAGCUCAGCAGGUGUGAGCCUGGUCAGUACCUGGAUGGGGGAGACCUCCUGGGAAAAACUAAGGUUGCUGCUGGAU
This 121-nucleotide ribosomal RNA is filed under the name Lepisosteus oculatus (spotted gar). The record is from RNAcentral. Lineage: Eukaryota; Metazoa; Chordata; Actinopteri; Semionotiformes; Lepisosteidae.